AUUGAACGCUGGCGGCAGGCCUAACACAUGCAAGUCGAACGGUAGCACAGAGAGCUUGCUCUCGGGUGACGAGUGGCGGACGGGUGAGUAACGUCUGGGAAACUGCCCGAUGGAGGGGGAUAACUACUGGAAACGGUAGCUAAUACCGCAUAACGUCGCAAGACCAAAGUGGGGGACCUUCGGGCCUCACACCAUCGGAUGUGCCCAGAUGGGAUUAGCUAGUAGCUGGGGUAAUGGCUCACCUAGGCGACGAUCCCUAGCUGGUCUGAGAGGAUGACCAGCCACACUGGAACUGAGACACGGUCCAGACUCCUACGGGAGGCAGCAGUGGGGAAUAUUGCACAAUGGGCGCAAGCCUGAUGCAGCCAUGCCGCGUGUAUGAAGAAGGCCUUCGGGUUGUAAAGUACUUUCAGCGGGGAGGAAGGCGGUGAAGUUAAUAGCUUAACCGAUUGACGUUACCCGCAGAAGAAGCACCGGCUAACUCCGUGCCAGCCGCCGCGGUAA
RNAcentral lists this ribosomal RNA (504 nucleotides) under uncultured bacterium. Its description in RNAcentral is "partial 16S ribosomal RNA". It matches the Rfam family "Bacterial small subunit ribosomal RNA", at positions 30 to 523 of the family's 1533-position model. The record is from RNAcentral.